GCAAGUUCGAGCGGAAACGAAGUUAUCUGAACCUUCGGGGGACGAUAACGGCGUCGAGCGGCGGACGGGUGAGUAACGCCUAGGAAAUUCGCCCYGAUGUGGGGGAGAACCAUUCGGAGACGAUGGCUAAUACCGCAUGAUGCCUACGGGCCAAAGAGGGGGACCUUCGGGCCUCUCGCGUCAGGAUAUGCCUAGGUGGGAUUAGCUAGUYGGUGAGGUAAGGGCUCACCAAGGCGACGAUCCCUAGCUGGUCUGAGAGGAUGAUCAGCCACACUGGAACUGAGACACGGUCCAGACUCCUACGGGAGGCAGCAGUGGGGAAUAUUGCACAAUGGGCGCAAGCCUGAUGCAGCCAUGCCGCGUGUGUGAAGAAGGCCUUCGGGUUGUAAAGCACUUUCAGUCGUGAGGAAGGUGGUGUAGUUAAUAGCUGCAUUAUUUGACGUUAGCGACAGAAGAAGCACCGGCUAACUCCGUGCCAGCAGCCGCGGUAAUACGGAGGGUGCGAGCGUUAAUCGGAAUUACUGGGCGUAAAGCGCAUGCAGGUGGUUUGUUAAGUCAGAUGUGAAAGCCCGGGGCUCAACCUCGGAAUAGCAUUUGAAACUGGCAGACUAGAGUACUGUAGAGGGGGGGUAGAAUUUCAGGGGUAGCGGUGAAAUGCGUAGAGAUCUGAAGGAAUACCGGUGGCGAARGCGGCCCCCUGGACAGAUACUGACACUCAGAUGCGAAAGCGUGGGGAGCAAACAGGAUUAGAUACCCUGGUAGUCCACGCCGUAAACGAUGUCUACUUGGAGGUUGUGGCCUUGAGCCGUGGCUUUCGGAGCUAACGCGUUAAGUAGACCGCCUGGGGAGUACGUCGCAAGAUUAAAACUCAAUGAAUUGACGGGGCCCGCACAAGCGGUGGAGCAUGUGGUUUAAUUCGAUGCACGCGAGACUUACUACUCUGACAUCAGAGACUUUCAAAAAUGAU
This 967-nucleotide ribosomal RNA is filed under the name Vibrio sp. Its description in RNAcentral is "bacterial SSU rRNA". It matches the Rfam family "Bacterial small subunit ribosomal RNA", at positions 57 to 1010 of the family's 1533-position model. The record is from RNAcentral. Lineage: Bacteria; Pseudomonadati; Pseudomonadota; Gammaproteobacteria; Vibrionales; Vibrionaceae.